AGUGAACGCUGGCGGCAGGCCUAACACAUGCAAGUCGAGCGGCAGCGGGUCCUUCGGGAUGCCGGCGAGCGGCGGACGGGUGAGGAAUGCGUCGGAAUCUGCCUUUUUGUGGGGGAUAGCGUAGGGAAACUUACGCUAAUACCGCAUACGACCUACGGGUGAAAGUGGGGGACCGCAAGGCCUCACGCAGAAAGAUGAGCCGACGUCGGAUUAGCUAGUUGGCGGGGUAAAGGCCCACCAAGGCGACGAUCCGUAGCUGGUCUGAGAGGAUGAUCAGCCACACUGGAACUGAGGCACGGUCCAGACUCCUACGGGAGGCAGCAGUGGGGAAUAUUGGACAAUGGGCGCAAGCCUGAUCCAGCCAUGCCGCGUGUGUGAAGAAGGCCUUCGGGUUGUAAAGCACUUUUGUCCGGAAAGAAAUCCUGUCGGCUAAUACCCGGCGGGGAUGACGGUACCGGAAGAAUAAGCACCGGCUAACUUCGUG
RNAcentral lists this ribosomal RNA (484 nucleotides) under uncultured bacterium. RNAcentral describes it as "partial 16S ribosomal RNA". It matches the Rfam family "Bacterial small subunit ribosomal RNA", at positions 30 to 507 of the family's 1533-position model. The record is from RNAcentral.